RNAcentral lists this ribosomal RNA (301 nucleotides) under uncultured bacterium. Its description in RNAcentral is "partial 16S ribosomal RNA". It matches the Rfam family "Bacterial small subunit ribosomal RNA", at positions 509 to 807 of the family's 1533-position model. The record is from RNAcentral.
CAGCAGCCACGGGAAUACGAAGGGUGCAAGCGUUAAUCGGAAUUACUGGGCGUAAAGCGUGCGUAGGCGGUGAGUUAAGUCUGCUGUGAAAUCCCCGGGCUCAACCUGGGAAUGGCAGUGGAUACUGGCUCGCUAGAGUGUGUCAGAGGAUGGUGGAAUUCCCGGUGUAGCGGUGAAAUGCGUAGAGAUCGGGAGGAACAUCAGUGGCGAAGGCGGCCAUCUGGGACAACACUGACGCUGAGGCACGAAAGCGUGUGGAGCAAACAGGAUUAGAUACCCCCGUAGUCCCUGUCUCUUAUAC